AAAAACUUGACCUGUCGCUAGACUUGCAUUCCUCACCAUUCAAAUUUUUCUAUCUUCUUCUUUUCACAGACAUCCAGGCCAGUACAUUGUCAACGACAUAAAAUUAGAAAAGAUUAUAAUAAUUAUUUUUAUUAAAUCGGCACAUAUGUUUUUCAUUGCAUCAUUAUUACCUUACACCAUACAUGUGUGUUGGUAUAUGGGAGUUGCAAUUUGCAUACAAGUCAUAUUGAGAAAUGUACCUAAUCACAUUUUGAUUAAUCUGCAUCACAUUCUUACACUCCACCCCACCAGAUUAACUGCCUAAGGCGUUUAUCAAACAUCACAUUCUACUUAAAAACAAAGUUCCACAUAAGUGAACAAAACAACAAGUGAAACUGACGCCAAAGACUUGACUUUCCAAUAAACUUCAUCCUACACCAUUCAAUUUAGAGUAAUAUGAAUAAUGAGGCGAGAGAAUAUCAGAGAAAUGGUUUUUGUGUCAUUCAUUAUCUUAAAUGGGGAUUCAACCAUCCUAUUUAUAUAAAGCAGACUAACAAGAGUCGAUAAUUCAUUAAAUUGGUAUUAUCUAACCUCAUUAGAUCCUAUUUUAUUAAGUAAUAAGUGGUCGAACAUUCUCUAACCUUUUUAAACAAACGGUUCUUCAAAAGAAAAGGUGACCGGACUUCCUUUUGAGCCAUCACUUCUCUUGCUCCAUGGAAUAUGCACCAACUAGACUUGUAAUAUGACCUAGCUAGUCGAGCCCAUUCUCCUUCUCAAAGCCAACAAUCUUUUGUCGCUAGCGACAUUUUAGAGGUGGGUCAUGCAACUCCGAACCCAUCAUCCAUUUAAAACUGUCCAUAGCUCAGUGACACGAUCUAUAUCAAUACCGAACUGAUUUGUAAAUCGAGGUAGCAAACGAACAGAGUGAGAUAUGAUGGUUGUCACACUCAGUUUAUUGGAUGGGGCAAGGGGCACCCAAUCAAUUGCCAUCCAUCAUCGUUAAUUAAGUAGUUGGGCUUGUUACUACAGAUGAAAUUAGUAAAUUACAAUAUACAAGUCCUUAAGCUGUAAAAAUGAAAAGAACAAAGCUGAGGAAAAAUAACACGCCCCAGUGGGACUCGAACCACAAUCGCUUGAUUGUCAAGCACCUUAUCCAUUAGCACAUGGGCGCUUUGUCGUAGGUUGUGUUCACAAGAGUUAUAUUAAUAUUUUUUAUGUACAUUUACAUCAAAUACCACUCAACUUUAGUUUGUAGUCAUACUAACCACCAAACUAAGUUAUAUUCACCAAAUACCACUAAAUUAUAGUUUGAUUUCUUUAGUUACAAUUCCAUAAUUUUUUUAGGACGGAAUGCUCACUUGGCCUAACACAAUUAGCAUUUAGGUGAUGAGUUAUCUGUCAACUCAUAGUUUGAUCAAAACUCACAUUUCAAAUAUUUUCUAGAUUUUUCUACCUUGAGAAGGCUACGAAAAUAUAUUCAAUGAAUAAUCACUGACCAUUACGGUUCAAACAUAAUGAUACCAAAAGAAUCGAAGCAGUUUGUCAAGUUGGGAUUUUCAAAACAAUAAGUUGGCAGUUGACUCAUCUCCUAAAUAUUGGUUGUGUUUGGCCACGUUAGCAUUAUGUCGAAAAAAAAUUAUGGAAUGGUAACUAAAAAAAUUAUGGAAAUACAUUUUUUUAUGCUCGUUCCGCCACCGAUUGCAUAUAAUAUUCGAACUACAUAGAAACAACAACAAAUUGUGGAUGCAAUUUGGUUCGUACUCUAAGCCUAAAGCUUGUCAAUCAGUGGCAUGGAAUAAGGUUUCAUUUUGGGCUUAUUUGAUACGUUUCAUUGAGUUCUCUAUCUGUUUAAUUCCACAUAAGUGAACAAAGACUUGACUUCCUAGUAGACUUCAUUUCUCACCAUUCAAAUUUUUCUAUCUCUUCCCUCAUUUUUCCACUUGAAGAUUGAUCCACAUAUGCAGCAGCUCUUUAUAAACUGCCCAAACUCCAUGCUUCAUAUACAACACAUCUUACCCUGAGACUUUAGCCCCAUUCCCAUUUCCCCUUUUGCUCAUGGCUUCCUCAUUCAUCACUUGGUUCAUAUCUUCAUUUUCAUUCAUACCUUUUCUUCUCCUUUUGAUGGGCAGCGACCAUGUUCUUUUGGUCGCUGGCCGAUGCCGAGAAGACCAACAAUCCCUACUCCUACAGCUCAAACAUGGCCUCAAUUUAAGCUAUCCAUCAUUUUCAAGGGUGAUAUCAUGGAAUUCGAGUACGGAUUGCUGCGAGUGGCCUGGUAUAAGAUGUGAUCCUAGUGGCCUCGGUCAUGUUGUUGGACUUGACUUGAGUGAUUCAAUCACCGGAGGAGGUGGACGCGAUGAUUCCUCGGCUCUGUUUAGUCUCAAAUAUCUCGAGGAACUGGAUUUGUCGUACAACUACUUCAACACAACUAUUCCGGCUGCACUUGCCAACCUUACCAAUUUGAGGUAUCUGAACUUAUCAAAUGCCGGCUUCUUUGGGCAAAUUCCUACAGCCCUCUCUCAACUGUCAAGCUUGGUUAGUUUUCGUUUAUCAAAUUGGUUUGAGGGUCUACAACUUGAGAUUCCAAAUCCAACCCUACUCUUUCAAAAUCUCACCCAACUAACUGAGCUCCGACUUGAUGGCGUGGACUUAUCCACUCAAGAGAAGGAGUUGUUCCAUGUCUUGUCUUCUUCACUACCAAAUCUCAGAGUGUUGAGCUUGAUCAAAUGCAACCUUUCAGCCCCUAUUGAUCCCUCCCUUUCAAAACUUCAGUCUCUAACAAAACUUUACCUUGAUUACAACAAUUUCUCCUCUUUAAUCCCCGAUAUCAUCCAAGAUUUCAAAAACUUGACAGCCUUGAGAAUGUCAAAUUGUGGGCUUAGAGGAACAUUCCCAAAAAAGAUAGUCCAAAGCCUGACUCAACUAGAGUAUUUGGAUUUCUCAGAUAACCAAUUGGUGGGUAAUAUACCAUAUGCUCACUGGGAAAAUAUUCACAACCUUGUCCAAGUAGACCUUAGAAUAUAUAAAUCUUAACAAUAAUUCUUUUAACGGGUUCAUCCCACCAUCUUUAUUUUCCAUUCCAUCUUUGGAAUAUAUUGAUCUCUCCAAUAACCAGCUUCAAGGUCAAAUUCCAGAGUUUUCAGCUAAUACUUCUUCGACUCUGUAUUCUAUAAGCUUGAGUAACAAUUCUCUCAAUGGAAACAUCCCACCAUCUUUAUUUUCCAUUCCGUCAUUGAACGAUCUUGAUCUGUCCGAUAACCAACUAGUAGGUCCCAUCCCCCAUUCAAUUUUUGAACUUUUAUCAUUUAUUUUUGAACAUUCAUCACUUCAUUCCCUCUACCUUUCAUCUAAUAGAUUGAGUGGCAAGGUCCAGUUAAGUUGGUUUCAAACACUCCAAAAUCUCACUCGGCUUGAUCUUUCCUACAACAACCUAACAGUUGAUGCAACUAUCAAUAAAUCCUCUACGAGCUCGCCCAUCUUUCCUCAAUUAAGACAAUUGCAUCUUCCAUCGUGCAAUCUUAGAACAAUUCCCGAGUUGGGCAACCAACUAUUCUUUUCUACCUAGACCUUUCUGACAACAAUAUCUAUGGGGUAGUACCUCAUUGGAUUAUGAAUUCAACUACUCUAGACUAUCUCAAUCUUUCACACAACAACCUAGUAGGUUUUGAGGUCCAACAUUUUGCUUCUACUCCUCAAAUUUUGGACAUGCAUGACAACCAACUCCAAGGAAACUUUCCAUUCAUUCCAUUUCCAUUACCAUUAUUCGCCAUACAAUAUAUAGAUUUCUCCCACAAUCAUCUCAAUGGUUCCAUUCCAGCCCGAAUUUUCAACAAUCUUUAUUUGAACUUUCUUUCACUAUCAAAUAAUAGCUUCACAGGAACCAUUCCAACAAGUGUGUGUGAUGCUGUAAAUCUUGAAAUCAUUAAUCUUUCAAACAACCAUUUGAAUGGAACAAUCCCAUCUUGUCUCAUAAAAACCAUGAAAGAUCUCUCUGUCCUAGAUUUGAGUGGGAAUAUGUUUACUGGCAACAUACCAAACACAUUCCAUAUUUCAUGUGCUUUACAAAUUCUAAAUUUUCACAACAACCAAUUACAAGGAACAUUUCCGAAGUCCUUGGAGAAUUGCACGAAGUUGGAAGUUUUAGACAUCGGGAACAACAAAAUCGCAGGUCCUUUCCCUUGUCUUCAAGGAGAAAUCAAAUCUACUUUGCGUGUCCUAAUUCUUAGGAACAACCUCUUCCAUGGGAGCAUUCAGUGCUCGUAUGAUGAUCAAACUACUUGGCAACAACUCCAAAUUGUCGAUCUUGCUUCCAACAAUUUUUCGGGACCCUUAAAUGCCAAAUACUUAGAUUCAUUGAAAGUCAUGAUGGAAGAUGAAAAGGGUACAUACACAAGCCCUUAUCAAAUUUGGGGCCCCUAGAUCAUCAAGUGGCUAUUAUCAAGUUUCCAUAAUCGUGAUCAAGGAUACGGUUGAAUUGGAAUUUGUGAAGGUCUUGACCGCAUUCAAGUCAAUUGAUUUGUCACACAACAAUUUUGACGGACCAAUACCAGAAGUCAUCGGAAAAUUCAAAGCACUUCGGGUUCUCAACUUGUCUCAGAAUGGUUUAAUAAGUCAGAUCCCAUCGGCAUUUGGCAACUUGUCAAGUUUGGAGUCUCUAGACCUCUCUGAUAACAUGCUGAGUGGACAUAUACCAAAGGAACUAGCGGACUUGACGUUCCUUUCAUGCUUAAACCUAUCAAAUAACCAUUUAGUUGGCAGCAUCCCAACCGGCAGACAGUUCGAUACGUUCGAGAACACUUCGUAUGGAGGUAAUCCAAAACUGUGCGGGAAACCUUUGACUGGAUCUUGCACUUCACUACUUGAUCCGCCGGAUGUCAUUAUUAGACGUGGGAAAUCAAAUGGAGGAACCGACUGGGACAAGCUUAGCAAAGCAUUUGGAUAUUUGUUUGGCCUAACUGUUGUCAUGUUGCCAGCCGCGUUAUGGCCAAGUUUUCGAGUUUGGUUCUGGCCGAAGAUCGAUUCUCUAAUCCUUUGGAUGUUCCCGAAGCUAUAUGUAAAAGACUGGAAUAAUCGUCUUAGGAAAAGACGGAGCCAACGACGCACCAAGCAAACUGCGACAUGCCGGUAACCACCCCCGGAUCGAUGCUUUAUAUAUGACGUUCUAAAGCUUAAUUACCGAAUUAUAAGCAGCUCAACAUUAGUUCGAAAUUAUAAGCAGCUCAACAUUAUUAUUGUAACUAGUUUGUUGUAGAUUUUAAUUUAUUAUAUAUCAGAUGUACCUGUAUCUAUUGCUAUCCAAUCCAAUUCUUAUAAAGUAUAAUCAAACUCAUUUGCUUUCUCUCAAGAAUGAUAUCUUUUGGACACGGAGUGAUUGUCAUAUCGAUACUGUAACGUAAACAUUUCUCGACACGAGUCAUUCAGUAACGCAAAAAACAUUCGGGGAACGUUUUCUGUUGGAAAGCAUAUCUAAUGCUCUAGAUACUAACCCAUGUUUACGAAGGUUAGCUUGCACCGUAAGUAACCACAGUCGGACCACUAACAACGUCCAUCCUCCAUCUUUUCGAGCAAUCGAAGUCCGACACUACGCAUCUUGCAGAGGCCGUUGAUGACAGAAAUAUCCUGUCUUUUUUCGAAAAACUUCCACAAGAUGAGUAACGUUCCUCCAGUCUUUGUACAAUUUUUAUUAAGAUCUACAAUAUAGUUUCCUUUUCAUUUUUUUUAUUUUAUUAAUUUAUCAUUACAAAAUUAAAUCUACUACUUAAAUAAUUUAUUUUAUUUAUGUCCCUCCUAAUUCCAACAAUAUGAAACAAAGGCCAAGAGAACAAAGUAUAUUCAGAGAAAUGUAAACCCGUUGCAUCCUCCAUGUUUUGCUGGAUCGCCGAAGCAAAGCUUGACCGAAUCCACCUCGAAUAUUACGUUUCAUGAGCGAAACUAGGGGUGGUUGGGGUGAGUCACAUUUUGGUCUAGAACAUUUUAACUCAUAUGUUUAUUUUAAAUUUUCUCAAGUUCGGAUUAAAAUAAUUUUAAGUUUGGCUCAGUGUGUGGUCGUGUUAUAAUAAAAUUGAUUUUUUAAUUUUUUUUUUCAUUAUUUAUUAGGAUUAUCAUAGUAAAACUUGAUUUUUUUAACUAUUUCCAACAUGCAUGUCAAAUAUUAAUCUAUUUAACGAUUUUGAAAUUUUGUUAUGAAAAUGAUCAAAUUUUCUUAGUAUAACACAAGAAAAUUGACCAAUUUUGUCAAAAAUAUUAAAAAAAAUUAAAUUUAGUAAUAUCAAAUAUAUAUGUUAAAAAUAACUAAAAAUUAAAGUUUUACCAUAUUAUACUCUUAAAAUAAUAGAUUUCAGUUUGUCUGGAAUUAACAUAGAUUUCAGUGAUGGAAUUAAGGGUAGAGGAAUCUAGGCCACAACUCAGAGUACUGGGUUUCAAACUAUCAAAAUCAUAUGUAAACCAUUUUAAAUUGUUGUUUUUGCUUUGUGUAUUUUCAAAUUUUGGUUACGCACUGUGCUUUCAACUUAAAUUUCUGCCAAGAACUCCAACCAUCCUGAUUUUGUUAUAUGAACAUGGAUGGCACUGACUAGUGGUUCCUAUUCUUGCGGUGCAACUAUAGUAUCUAUUCAAAAACUAAUGUAUAAUUAAUAAUUAAUAUUUAUGGGAAAAUUCAGAGCACUCCAAGGUCUAAACUUAUCUCAUAAUGUUUUUAUUAGCCAGAUCCCAUCGCAUUCGGCAACUUAUCAAGUUUGGAAUCUCUAGAUGUCUCACAUAACAUGCUCAGUGGACAUAUACCAAAAGAACUAGCGGACUUAACAUUCCUCUCAUUCUUGAACCUCUCGGAUAAUCAUUUAAAAAGUAGCAUCCCAGUUGGCAGACAAUUACAAACAUUUGAGAACACUUCGUAUGGAGGUAACCCGAAAUUGUGUGGGAAACCUUUAGCUAGAUCAUGCACUUCUCUGUAUGUUUUGGAUCAAGAGGUCAAUGUUAGACAUGAGAAAUCAAUCAAUUGGGACUUUCUAAGCAAAACAUUCGGAUAUGUUUUCGGCUUAGCUACUAUCAUGUUACCAGCUGCAUUAUGGCAAAGUUUUCGAGUUCGGUACUGGCCGAAAAUCAAUUCUGUAAUCCUCUGGAUGUUCCCAAAGUUAAAUGUGAAAGACUGGAAUAAUCGUCUUAGGCAAAGGAGAAGGCCAAGACAUAGAAGACAAUGACAAGCUAGAAACCACCAUACCCAAUCUGUUCUUGUGCUUAAGUUAUGAUGCGUCUGUCUGUUGCUUAGCUAUCAAGUUAGUAGUAGACGGUAGUUAUCUGUGUUGUGACCUUAAACAGUUUAUGUAACAUAUGUAAGAUCAUGCAUACUUGUGUUUUUACCAUGACUCAACUGUCAAGCCGAUGUUCCAUACAUUUAAAGCAGAGACUAACAGAAGCUGAACAAGUCCAAAAAUCCAGUACUGAAUCACAAUUCUAACAAAAAAUCAAACACAAAACCAUCGAAUAAAAAUCAAUCGGAGACGAAGCUAAAUUCAGAUAAAGAAGGGCCUUUACCUAAAUUGCCCCUAAUGAUUGACAUAUAGUCAUGGCCCAUUUCUGCAUGAAUUGAUCGUCAGUAGCAUGGAAUGGAAGGUAUCAUUUUGGCUUCAUAGAUGCAGUUCUCUGUCACCAACUGCGGAGACAUUUAAGUUUAAUUCCACAUAAAUGAACAGAACAAUAAGUGGAUACAAGUUCAUUAGCUUCUUUGAUACUGCUUGCGAGGGAAGUGAUUAUCCGCACCCUUGAAACAUGAUAUAAAUAUGCAGAUAGUUUCAUUACCCCGAGACUAAUGACUAUGUUAGAGUAGUACCGGAUUUCCCCGUACCCGUAACAAUCAUAUGCAUUAACCGGAUUCUCGGACAGUCUUUUGGAUUGAUCCGCCGGUUACAUGAUAUUAAAUAUAAUACUAGAAGGACCUAUGUCGUCUCGAAUUUGUACGGACGAACAUGUACCUUUUUUAUCCAUGUGGUUUAGGUACCUCAUGGCUCGUUCUGCCCGAUUAGAUUCAUAAAUUUCUACUCCUAUUGAAAGUAAUUCGGUCAUAAGUUUGAAUGAGGAGGAUCAGUUAGAGUUUAAGAUUCGACUUUGCAAACGAAAGGGGAACAGAGAAAGAAGAUUAUACAUUCACCUCAUAAAAAUUGAAUAAGGAAGUUCGGAGUUUGAACCAUAAGAAUAUCAACAAUAUUAACCCUAAACCCUAUAAAAAUAUCAACUAUAUAAUUCAAUUUUAAACAAAAGAAACAGUUUAAUACUUGAGUUUCGCACAAUAAAAACAUAAUAGUUCUAGUUUAAUACUUUAAAGUUUCGCAUGAAAACAUAAUAGUUCUGCCACACCAUUAUGUACAACAAAAUGACGAAUUACGAUGAAAUUUCAUAUUCUUAAAAUAUUGUAGAGUCGAAAAAUCUGUUCUUAGAAAAAAAGAGUGAUUGUGAUUUANNNNNNNNNNNNNNNNNNNNNNNNNNNNNNNNNNNNNNNNNNNNNNNNNNNNNNNNNNNNNNNNNNNNNNNNNNNNNNNNNNNNNNNNNNNNNNNNNNNNNNNNNNNNNNNNNNNNNNNNNNNNNNNNNNNNNNNNNNNNNNNNNNNNNNNNNNNNNNNNNNNNNNNNNNNNNNNNNNNNNNNNNNNNNNNNNNNNNNNNNNNNNNNNNNNNNNNNNNNNNNNNNNNNNNNNNNNNNNNNNNNNNNNNNNNNNNNNNNNNNNNNNNNNNNNNNNNNNNNNNNNNNNNNNNNNNNNNNNNNNNNNNNNNNNNNNNNNNNNNNNNNNNNNNNNNNNNNNNNNNNNNNNNNNNNNNNNNNNNNNNNNNNNNNNNNNNNNNNNNNNNNNNNNNNNNNNNNNNNNNNNNNNNNNNNNNNNNNNNNNNNNNNNNNNNNNNNNNNNNNNNNNNNNNNNNNNNNNNNNNNNNNNNNNNNNNNNNNNNNNNNNNNNNNNNNNNNNNNNNNNNNNNNNNNNNNNNNNNNNNNNNNNNNNNNNNNNNNNNNNNNNNNNNNNNNNNNNNNNNNNNNNNNNNNNNNNNNNNNNNNNNUGUUGGUAUAUGGGAGUUGCAAUUUGCAUACAAGUCAUAUUGAGAAAUGUACCUAAUCACAUUUUGAUUAAUCUGCAUCACAUUCUUACACUCCACCCCACCAGAUUAACUGCCUAAGGCGUUUAUCAAACAUCACAUUCUACUUAAAAACAAAGUUCCACAUAAGUGAACAAAACAACAAGUGAAACUGACGCCAAAGACUUGACUUUCCAAUAAACUUCAUCCUACACCAUCCGAUUUGACUAACUAGAGUAGUAUGAAUAGUGAGGCGAUAGAAUAUCAGAGAAAUGGUUUUUGUAUCAUUCAUUAUCUUAAAUGGGGAUUUAACCAUCCUAUUUAUAUAAAACAGACUAACAAGAGUCGAUAAUUCAUUAAAUUGGUAUUAUCUAACCUCAUUAGAUCCUAUUUUAUUAAGUGAUAAGUGGUCGAAUAUUUUCUAACCUUUUUAAACAAACGGUUCUUCAAAAGAAGAGGUGAUCAGACUUCCCUUUGAGUCUGCACUUUUCCUGCUCCAUGAAACAUGCACCCACUAGACUUAUAAUAUCACCUAGCUAGUCGAGCCUAUUCUCCUUCUCGAGCCCGACGAUCUUUUGUUGCUAGUGACAUUUUGGAGGUGGGUCAUGCAAUUUCGAACCCAUCAUCCAUUUAAAACUGUCCAUAACUCAGUGACACGAUCUAUAUCAAUACCGAACUGAUUUGUGAAUCGAGGUAGCAAACGAACAGAGUGAGAUAUGAUGGUUUUCACACUCAGUUUAUUGGAUGGGGCAAGGGGCACCCAAUCAAUUGCCAUCCAUCAUCGUUAAUUAAGUAGUUGGGCUUGUUACUACAGAUGAAAUUAGUAAAUUACAAUAUACAAGUCCUUAAGCUGUAAAAAUGAAAAGAACAAAGCUGAGGAAAAAUAACACGCCCCAGUGGGACUCGAACCACAAUCGCUUGAUUGUCAAGCACCUUAUCCAUUAGCACAUGGGCGCUUUGUCGUAGGUUGUGUUCACAAGAGUUGUAUUACUAUUUUUUAUGUACAUUUACAUCAAAUACCACUCAACUUUAGUUUGUAGUCAUACUAACCACCAAACUAAGUUAUAUUCACCAAAUACUACUAAAUUAUAGUUUGAUUUCUUUAGUUACAAUUCCAUAAUUUUUUUAGGACGGAAUGCUCACUUGGCCUAACACAAUUAGCAUUUAGGUGAUGAGUUAUCUGUCAACUCAUAGUUUGAUCAAAACUCACAUUUCAAAUAUUUUCUAGAUUUUUCUACCUUGAGAAGGCUACGAAAAUAUAUUCAAUGAAUAAUCACUGACCAUUACGGUUCAAACAUAAUGAUACCAAAAGAAUCGAAGCAGUUUGUCAAGUUGGGAUUUUCAAAACAAUAAGUUGGCAGUUGACUCAUCUCCUAAAUAUUGGUUGUGUUUGGCCACGUUAGCAUUAUGUCGAAAAAAAAUUAUGGAAUGGUAACUAAAAAAAUUAUGGAAAUACAUUUUUUUAUGCUCGUUCCGCCACCGAUUGCAUAUAAUAUUCGAACUACAUAGAAACAACAACAAAUUGUGGAUGCAAUUUGGUUCGUACUCUAAGCCUAAAGCUUGUCAAUCAGUGGCAUGGAAUAAGGUUUCAUUUUGGGCUUAUUUGAUACGUUUCAUUGAGUUCUCUAUCUGUUUAAUUCCACAUAAGUGAACAAAGACUUGACUUCCUAGUAGACUUCAUUUCUCACCAUUCAAAUUUUUCUAUCUCUUCCCUCAUUUUUCCACUUGAAGAUUGAUCCACAUAUGCAGCAGCUCUUUAUAAACUGCCCAAACUCCAUGCUUCAUAUACAACACAUCUUACCCUGAGACUUUAGCCCCAUUCCCAUUUCCCCUUUUGCUCAUGGCUUCCUCAUUCAUCACUUGGUUCAUAUCUUCAUUUUCAUUCAUACCUUUUCUUCUCCUUUUGAUGGGCAGCGACCAUGUUCUUUUGGUCGCUGGCCGAUGCCGAGAAGACCAACAAUCCCUACUCCUACAGCUCAAACAUGGCCUCAAUUUAAGCUAUCCAUCAUUUUCAAGGGUGAUAUCAUGCCGAGAAGACCAACAAUCCCUACUCCUACAGCUCAAACAUGGCCUCAAUUUAAGCUAUCCAUCAUUUUCAAGGGUGAUAUCAUGCCGAGAAGACCAACAAUCCCUACUCCUACAGCUCAAACAUGGCCUCAAUUUAAGCUAUCCAUCAUUUUCAAGGGUGAUAUCAUGCCGAGAAGACCAACAAUCCCUACUCCUACAGCUCAAACAUGGCCUCAAUUUAAGCUAUCCAUCAUUUUCAAGGGUGAUAUCAUGCCGAGAAGACCAACAAUCCCUACUCCUACAGCUCAAACAUGGCCUCAAUUUAAGCUAUCCAUCAUUUUCAAGGGUGAUAUCAUGCCGAGAAGACCAACAAUCCCUACUCUUACAAUUCAAACAUUGUCUCAACUUAAGCAAAAGUAUAGGCUCAGAAAAUCGACUGGUUGAGUGGAAUUCGAGCACGGAUUGCUGUGAGUGGCCUGGUAUAAAAUGUGAUCUCAAUGGCCUUGGUCGUGUUGUUGGACUCAACUUGAGCUUUGAACAGAUAAUUGUACGAGGUGGAAUCGACGAUUCUUCGGCUCUGUUUAGUCUUGGAUAUCUCGAGGAAUUGGAUCUGUCCGACAACUUCUUCAACACAACUAUUCCAGGUGCACUUGGCAACCUCAUCAAUUUGAGGUAUCUACACUUAUCCGAUGCUGGUUUCUAUGGUCAAAUUCCAACUGCCAUCUCUCAGCUGACAAGCUUGGUUAGUCUUGAUUUGUCAUAUCAAAAUCUAAAGAUUGAGAGUACAAAUCUGGCGCUACUUGUUCAGAAUCUCACAAAAUUAACCAAGCUUCGACUUGAUGGCGUGGACUUAUCCACUCAAGGGAAGGAGUGGUUCCAUGUCUUAUCUUCUUCACUACCAAAUCUCAGAGAGUUGAGCUUGAGCAAAUGCAACCUUUCAGCCCCUAUGGAUGCUCCCUCCCUUUCAAAACUUCAGUCUCUCACGGACCUUUACCUUGAUCACAACAAUUUCUCCUCUUUAAUCCCCGAUAUCAUCCAAGAUUUAAAAAACUUGACAGCCUUGAGAAUGUCAAAUUGUGGGCUUAGAGGAACAUUCCCAAAAAAGAUAGUCCAAAACCUGACUCAACUAGAGUAUUUGGAUUUCUCACAUAACCAAUUGGUGGGUAAUAUACCAUAUGCUCACUGGGAAAAUAUUCACAACCUUGUCCAAGUAGACCUUAGAGACAAUUUUUUCAACGGGACCAUCCCACCAUCUUUAUUUUCCAUUCCAUCUUUGAAAAAUAUUGAUCUCUCCAAUAACCAGGUUCAAGGUCAAAUUCCAGAGUUUUCAGCUAAUACUUCUUCGACUCUGAAUUCUAUAUUCUUGAAUAACAAUUUUCUCAACGGAAGCAUCCCACCAUCUUUAUUUUCCAUUCCAUCUUUGAAAUAUAUUGAUCUCUCCAAUAACCAACUAGUAGGUCCCAUCCCCCCUUCAAUUUUCGAACUUUCAUCACUUCAUUCCCUCUUCCUUUCAUCUAAUAGAUUGAGUGGCAAGGUCCAGUUAAGUUGGUUUCAAACACUCCAAAAUCUCACUUCCCUUGAUCUUUCCUACAACAACCUAACAGUUGAUGCAAAUAUCAAUAAAUCCUCUACGAGCUCGCCCGUCUUUCCUCAAUUAAGACAAUUGCAUCUUCCAUCGUGCAAUCUUAGAACAAUUCCCGAGUUGGGCAACCAACUAAGUCUUUCCAACCUAGACCUUUCUGACAACAAUAUCAAUGGGGUAAUACCUCGUUGGAUUAUGGAUUCAACUACUUUAAUAUCCCUCAAUCUUUCACACAACAAC
RNAcentral lists this long non-coding RNA (12859 nucleotides) under Linum usitatissimum (flax). RNAcentral describes it as "long non-coding RNA (LUSI_LNC007483)". The record is from RNAcentral. Lineage: Eukaryota; Viridiplantae; Streptophyta; Magnoliopsida; Malpighiales; Linaceae.